GCAACCCCUAUUGUUAGUUGCCAUCAUUCAGUUGGGCACUCUAGCGAGACUGCCGGUAAUAAACCGGAGGAAGUGGGAUGAACGUCAAAUCAUCAUGCCCCUUAUGACCUGGGCUACACACGUGCUACAAUGGUUGGUACAACGAGUUGCGAGUCGGUGACGGCGAGCUAAUCUCUUAAAGCCAAUCUCAGUUCGGAUUGUAGGCUGCAACUCGCCUACAUGAAGUCGGAAUCGCUAGUAAUCGCGGAUCAGCACGCCGCGGUGAAUACGUUCCCGGGCCUU
RNAcentral lists this ribosomal RNA (282 nucleotides) under uncultured Streptococcus sp. RNAcentral describes it as "partial 16S ribosomal RNA". It matches the Rfam family "Bacterial small subunit ribosomal RNA", at positions 1098 to 1382 of the family's 1533-position model. The record is from RNAcentral. Lineage: Bacteria; Bacillati; Bacillota; Bacilli; Lactobacillales; Streptococcaceae.